UGGUGAUUAGUUUAACAACCAAAACAAAUGGUUUCAACUCAUUAGAUUACAUUUUAAUUCGUAAUUACCAA
This 71-nucleotide transfer RNA is filed under the name Cavia porcellus (domestic guinea pig). It matches the Rfam family "tRNA". From Rfam's summary of the family: Transfer RNA (tRNA) molecules are approximately 80 nucleotides in length. Their secondary structure includes four short double-helical elements and three loops (D, anti-codon, and T loops). The record is from Rfam by way of RNAcentral. Lineage: Eukaryota; Metazoa; Chordata; Mammalia; Rodentia; Caviidae.